GAUGAACGCUGGCGGCGUGCCUAAUACAUGCAAGUCGAGCGAACGGACGAGAAGCUUGCUUCUCUGAUGUUAGCGGCGGACGGGUGAGUAACACGUGGAUAACCUACCUAUAAGACUGGGAUAACUUCGGGAAACCGUAGCUAAUACCGGAUAAUAUUUUGAACCGCAUGGUUCAAAAGUGAAAGACGGUCUUGCUGUCACUUAUAGAUGGAUCCGCGCUGCAUUAGCUAGUUGGUAAGGUAACGGCUUACGAAGGCAACGAUGCAUAGCCGACCUGAGAGGGUGAUCGGCCACACUGGAACGGAGACACGGUCCAGAGUCCUACGGGAGGCAGCAGUAGGGAAUCUUCCGCAAUGGGCGGAAGCCUGACGGAGCAACGCCGCGUGAGUGAUGAAGGUCUUCGGAUCGUAAAACUCUGUUAUUAGGGAAGAACAGAUGUGUAAGUAACUGUGCACAUCUUGACGGUACCUAAUCAGAAAGCCACGGCUAACUACGUG
RNAcentral lists this ribosomal RNA (497 nucleotides) under uncultured bacterium. Its description in RNAcentral is "partial 16S ribosomal RNA". It matches the Rfam family "Bacterial small subunit ribosomal RNA", at positions 28 to 507 of the family's 1533-position model. The record is from RNAcentral.